This 357-nucleotide transfer-messenger RNA is filed under the name Halanaerobiales. RNAcentral's name for it is "M55B127 sp913055675 Standard tmRNA". It matches the Rfam family "transfer-messenger RNA". From Rfam's summary of the family: Bacterial tmRNA, also known as 10Sa RNA or SsrA, is named for its dual tRNA and mRNA-like properties. RNAcentral also lists the same sequence under 1 other name. Lineage: Bacteria; Bacillati; Bacillota; Clostridia. The record is from RNAcentral.
GGGGGUGUUCUGGUUUCGCCUGUAUGGCGAAUCCUUUAAGAGCGGUCCGAGGAUAUCCUUUCACUCGUAAAACACUGGAUACUAAAAUUAUCUGCAAACAACGAUAAUAGUUACGCUUUAGCAGCCGCGUAGGUUGCUAACGCUUGGGCGUCUUUUGUCUGUGAAGGCGUGCAAGUGUCAUAAUUAGCAGGCUUACCAUUUUCUAAUGGUUGUAGGAAAAUGGAACACUAACAAUCUAGUUAUAUAUGACCCUGUUUGUUGGGGCUUAUGUAACGAAAUUAAAAAACAAACUAAGAUCGUAGUCGCUUAAAGGAUGAGUCAUAUAGUACGUGGGUUCGAUUCCCACCACCUCCACCA